This 7375-nucleotide long non-coding RNA is filed under the name Ananas comosus (pineapple). Its description in RNAcentral is "long non-coding RNA (ACOM_LNC002305)". Lineage: Eukaryota; Viridiplantae; Streptophyta; Magnoliopsida; Poales; Bromeliaceae. The record is from RNAcentral.
AAACACAGGGUAACAACUGGGCGUGAGAACUACUGUAAAAAUAAGUAGUCCUCAGUGGGUACCGCCCUCAAAAUCAUCGGCUCACCCACUAAAACUACAGUAGAAAAUAAGGCUAAAAGGUAAAUCCGGAAAGAAAUCCACAGCUACAUGCCACUACACUAUCCCACUGUGUCUGCUAUCAAUUCUGACCCAAUCUCAUUAGGGACUGUGUACGCACCCAUCCCGCCUGUCUAAGCCGCGCUACUUCCACGCUAAACAGUCCGUGGAUAACAACUAAUCAGCGACAGUAACGCGAAAGCACAAAGCCAGACUCCGGAGCGGCACUCGUGGGCGCGACCCAACCGAGUAUGCAAGCGUAUCUCUGUCGAGCUCAAUUAGGCUCUCACAGGCUAAAGUCAAGAAAACAGGUCUAACAGUACUUCCAACCCCUAGUCACGUGCCCUCGGCACCAUCUGAUAUCGGAACGAUCAAAUCCGGGUCCGCCGUCAACCACUACGGCACCCACUAAUCCAGAACACUGUAAACACUACUGUAAAAAUCGGCUCGGCAUCCUACAACGAGCGUAACUGAAAUCUGAACUAUCUGGGAUACUCACUAUGAGGAUACUGCAACAGUAUAAAAAUACAACGGCCCCUAUGGCUAAAUCAGGUAGUUCAACAUAUACCAGGUCCUGAACGCUGGUUUUCUCCUAUGUUUUAUCCAAGUCCCACAUGCAUGAUUAAUAACAACUAAUAACAUGCUCCCAAUUCAGUUUAUAUGUCUAAACAUACCUACUUAUGAAUUUGAGCUAAACAAACAAUAACAACUUGUAAUAUUAACGAUACAUGUCGACCAACAAUACUAUAGGAGUAGGAUUCUGAUGAUAAACCCACCUUGAAUACUAAAUCCACCCCGGCGCGACGUUCAGAACGGCGAAACCACGCCCUCGCCCGGGCUCCUCGCGAUGCUACGACUGCAACCGUAUCCUCGAACGGCUUCGCGGCCCAACGUCGACGUCGAAUCCGGGCUCCGCGGCUACUCCCCCAAGCUCCACCUCGUAUGGUUCUCUACUUCACACUAAAAAGAGAAAGCAAACUUAAUUAGAGUGCCACCCUUAAGCAGAUAAGUGGAUAACCAUGCAUGGGGGAGAGUGCACGUGGCAUCCAUAGCCACCCUCAAUCUUCACCGACUAAGUUCUAUAAUAUAUAUAUAUCAAAAAGGAUACUACAUCCUCCCCCAGUACAAAAAGUUUCGUCCUCGAAACUUAACACAUACCUCAACACGGGGCAUCGAACAGGUUGGGGUAGGACUCCCUCAUCACCGUCUCAGGCUCCCAAGUCGCCUCCCGCUCCUCGUGAUUGCUCCACUGCACUUCCACAUACGGGAUGACCCAGUUGUGCAAUUCUUUCGUCUCACGAGCAAGAAUCCGCACCGGUCGCUCCUCGUAUCUCAGAUCCUCGCCAAUCUCUAGUGGAGUGAAGUCAAUCACGUGAGAAGGAUCGAAAAUAUAUCUUCUCAGAGCCGAGACGUGGAACACAUCAUGGAUAUCAGCAAGUCGGGGUGGUAGAACAAUCCUGUAAGCAACUAGUCCAACUAGCUCCAAUACCUCAAAAGGGCCAACGAAACGUGGACUGAGCUUUCCACGCACUCCAAAUCGGCGAAUCCCUCUGGACGGCGAGCCUUUAAGAAAUAUAUGAUCUCCAACCUGGAACUCCAAGUCUCGUCUCCUAUUAUCGGCGUAGCUCCUUUGGCGGCUCUGGGCUAUCAAAAGGUGUCGUCGAACAACUCUCACAUUUUUCUCAGCCUCUAGCAAAAUCUCAGGCCCAAGUGUCCUCCUCUCACCCACAUCACUCCAAAACAACGGGGAUCGACACCUACGUCCAUACAACGCCUCAAACGGAGCCAUCUGAAUGCUCGUUUGAUAGCUGUUGUUGUACGCAAACUCUGCUAGUCUCAAGUGUCGAUACCACCCUUCUCCAAAAUCCAGGACACAUGCCCCGAGCAUGUCCUCUAUAGUCUGAAUGGUCUGCUCCGACUGACCAUCCGUCUGCGGGUGAAACGCUGUGCUGAAAUAUAACUGAGUCCCCAAAGCUGUCUGUAAACUCCUCCAAAAAUGUGACACAAAUCUCGGGUCCCGGUCUGAUACGAUCGAUACUGGUACACCAUGUAGCCUGGCAAUCUCAUCCAGAUACAACUGCGCGAGUCUCUCUCUGGACCAGGUGGUCUGAACUGGUAGAAAGUGAGCAGACUUAGUCAGUCUGUCAACGAUCACCCAAAUAGCAUCAUAGCCACCCUGUGCUCUAGGGAACCCCACAACAAAAUCCAUCGUGAUCUGCUCCCAUUUCCACUCGGGCACUGACAGACUCUGAAGCUUGCCAGCAGGUACCUGAUGCUCGGCCUUUACUUGUUGACAAGUCAGACACUGAGCCACAAAUCUGCCAAUGUCCCUCUUCAUCCCGUUCCAUCAGAACUGUGCCUUUAAGUCCUUAUACAUCUUGGUUCCACCAGGGUGAACCGUAUAAGGAGAACAAUGAGCCUUUCUCAAAAUAUCCGCUCGGAUCUCUAAAUCCACAGGCACACACAGUCGGUCCCUAUACCACAGUACUCCCAAACUGUCUAAAGCAAAAUCCUCCGCUUGUCCCCUAUCUAACUGCUCUCGAAUCCUCAACAAAUGCGGAUCUCCACUGUAUUUCUCCCGGAUCCUAUCCAACAGAGUGGGCUGCAAGACCAGAGACAUCAGUCUUGCUGUAGACCCAGGGGACACCACCUCAAGCCUCAGCCGCUAUAGCUCCUCAAGUAGCAGUCUCUGCUGAGUGAUCAACAAACUCAAGCUCUGCGCUGCCCUCCUGCUCAAUGCAUCUGCCACUACAUUCGCCCAGCCGGGAUGAUAUUGAAUACUAAUAUCAUAGUCUUUCAGUAACUCCAACCACCGGCGUUGCCUCAGAUUCAAUUCCUUUUGAGUGAACAGAUACUUGAGACUUUUAUGAUCGGUGAAAACCUCGCAGUACUCGCCGUACAAAUAAUGCCGCCACAGCUUCAAAGCAAAGACUACCCCGGCAAGCUCCAAAUCAUGCGUAGGGUAAUUCUUCUCAUAAUCCUUUAACUGCAGUGAAGUAUAAGCAAUUACCCUACCAUGCUGCAUCAGCACACAACCCAGUCCACUGUGCGAUGCAUCACUGUAGAUCACGAAUCCUUCCUCCAUCACAGGGAGAGCAAGGAUAGGAGCUGACAUCAAUCUUUGUCUCAGCUCGUCGAAGCUCCUCUCGCAGUCCUCACACCAAACAAACCGAAUCCCCUUCCGUGUCAACCUGGUAAGGGGUGUGGAAAGCUUUGCAAAGCCCUCCACAAACUGACGGUAAUAUCCGGCUAGUCCAAGAAAACUCCUUACCUCUGUCACCGUCGUCGGUUUGGGCCAAUCCCGAAUAGCAUCAAUCUUCUUCGGGUCUACUACUACUCCCUCUACAGAAAUCAUGUGGCCCAAGAAAGCGACCUCCCACAACCAAAACUCGCACUUCUUUAACUUGGCAUACAGCUUCUUCUCUCGCAGAAACUGUAGCACAAUCCUCAAGUGCUCCUCAUGCUCAGCAUCAUUACGGGAGUAGAUCAGAAUGUCAUCGAUGAAGACUACCACAAAUCUAUCCAAGAACGGCUUGAACACUCUGUUCAUCAAAUCCAUGAAUGUGGUAGGGGCAUUUGACAAUCCAAAAGGCAUCAUGGUAAACUCAUAAUGCCCGUACCGAGUCCGAAAAGCCGUCUUGGGAACAUCCUCGGCCCUCACCCUCAGCUGGUGGUAACCUGACUGGAGAUCAAUCUUCGAGAAGACACAAGAUCUCUGCAGCCGAUCAAGCAAAUCAUCAAUGCGCGGCAAGGGAUACUUGUUCUUGAUUAUCACUUUAUUCAGCCCCCGGUAGUCCACACAUAACCUGAGCGAACCAUCCUUCUUUUUUACAAAUAACACCGGCGCUCCCCAAGGCGAUACACUGGGUCUCAAAUAUCCCUUGUCCAUCAAAUCCUGAAGCUGCGCCUUUAGCUCUCUCAGCUUUGCCGGUUCUAUCCUAUAAGGUACCUUCGAGAUUGGUGUAGUUCCGAGAACCACAUCAAUCACGAACUCAAUUUCCCUCUCCGGCGACAUCAUCGUCAACUCAAGGGGAAACACAUCCGGAAACUCGCGAACUACAGGAAUAUCCUCGAGUCCCGGUGUCGCCGUAGGUACCUCUACUACCGUCGCCAGAAACACGACGCAUCCUUUGCUCAUCAGCUGUCGAGCCCUCGCCAAAGAUAUCCAAGUAGCGAAUAGCGUACUACUGCAGCUCCUAAAAGUAAACUCCUCCUGGCCUGGCUCGCAAAACGUCACUGUCCUCGCUCCACAGUCGAUCGUAGCGUAGUACCGUGCCAGCCAAUCCAUACCGAGCACAGCGUCGAAGUCCUGCAGCUGCCCUAAAACCAACAGGUCUGCGGGCAAGAUCCACGAAUCCAACUGCACUGGACACGACCAACAACACUCUGUAACCCGUAACAUAUGGUCGGAAAUCUGCACCUCUCGUGCCUAUAACAAAGCUCCGAACUCUAGACCAUGCAACAAUGCAAAUGCUCGGCUAACAAAGGAAUGAGAUGCACCGGUAUCGAAAAGAGUACGAGCUCUAAUGCCAGAGAUCAAAACAAUACCUGCCACCACUCGGUCGGCUGCUGAAGAGUCCUCCACCCAGGCUGCAUAUACUCUGCCAUUCGGAGCCUGCUGUCGCCGCUCACCCUGUCGCGGCGCAGAUGCCCUGUCCUCCUGGCGGUAACUCUGAGGUGCUCCAGAAAUCUGCUGAGAUCCGGAUGCUGCUGAAGCGAUCGAUGGUGCUGGUGAUGCUGCUCGGGGGCAAGCAGACCUCAUAUGCCUCGGCUGUCCACAUCCAAAACAUCGGCCCUCACGCUGCUUACACUGCCGGGCCCAGUGCGGUCCUCCACAAAUCACACAUGGUGGUAAUCCCUGUCACUGCCUCUGCUGUCGCGAUCCCCCAGAACGAUGACGCCUCGAGAACCCACGACCCUGAGAACGCGACCGUGGAGGUCUCGGCGGACACCGGCUGCUCGACUGUCCACCCUUAUCUGGAGCUGAGCGCUUCCUGUCCUGACUCUGUCCUGCAGCCUGAGUCCUCUCCCGAAUAGAUACAUCACAUCUCUCAACCCAAAGUGCCUGCUCCAUCGAUGCGUCCACGGUCCUCAACCUCUGCGCCUGAACCAACCGAAAAAUCUCGGGCCUCAAACCCUGCUCGAAAAGGUACACCCUGUGUGCCUCAUCUCUAGCCACAAACGGCACACAGUUCAGGAGUGGCGUGAACUCUCGAAUAUACUCCUGUACUGUCCGGUCCCCCUACUGGAUCUUCUUUAAAUCCUCCUCGAGCUUCUGUUUCAUACUGUUGGGAAAAUACAUCCCAUACAGCAUUCCACAGAACUGGUCGCAUGUCAUCUACAAAGUCACCAAUUGGUAAUCUCUCCUCACUCUCCGCCACCAAGCAAGGGCAUCCCCUGUCAAGCAAUGCACUCCCAGAUGUACCUGCUCCCGCUCAGGAAUGAAAAGAUUCUCAAAUAACUUCUCCAUCGAGCUGACCCAGUCCUCAACAACCCAAGCCUCUAUGCAUCGGCUAUCAAAAGUCGGCGGAUCGAAACGAUGAAAGCGAGCGAGUCUCUCAGCCAUCUGCUCCUGCUCAGCCUCGGCCAUCUGCGAUGCCUCACCAACCGGCGCAACUGGCACUGAACGAACGAACACUGGUGGUGGUACUACUGUAGCUGGUGCUGCCGCUGGAGCAGUCGGAGGUGGAACAAUCUGCUAUGGUAUGGUACUCUGUGGCGGGGUGACCCUCUCACACAACCUCUCCAACAACUUCUCCUGCCGCCUCGUCACCUCUGUCAGAGCGGCCAACUGAGCACUCAAGUCGGGGGAUGCGCUCGCCUCUGGUCGUGUACUCUGCUCCUGCCGGGCACUCGACUCUGCCUGCUCAGGCAUCUCGGAGGGUCCCACACGAUCCUGUGUCAACUGUGCCCGGUCUCGUGUCGACGGUCGAUCUCGACGACGAUACAUAGCUGCAAAAAUAGAACAGGGUCAGAUAACACAAAUACUCUCGAUCCAAUCAACGAAAGUCCGGAAGGCUGCCCCUGUUUCUCCUAAAAAUUAUGUCGUCUGCAGCCAACAUAAUUUUGCAGGCCAGAACAGGCACUCCUCCAAUCACUCACUCCCCUCAGGGUGAGUUACAAUAAUUAAUCAUUGACUUUCGCAAUAAAUCACGCCUCUCCCGUCUUGCUUUCCUAAGGUUUGCCAAACUUAGAUUUCUUAGGUCCCAAUGACCUAAAGCUAAGCUUUGAUACCAACUUAAUCUGUUAGGCCCCGGAUUACACGUUUUCCGGGCACGCCGACAAAUCCGCCAUAUACAAAGAAAUUUUUUCUGUAUACGAAGCGAUUGCUGUCUCUGUAAAAUAUACAAUACUACAAACAGUAGGGUAGAGCUGAAAAGAACUAAGCAGAUAGAACGAACAAAUAUCAUAUACAUACAAACUAACAAGUACAAAAACACUCGCUCCAGCGAGUUCUAGUAUCAGUAUGUACACAAGCUCAAAAUAAAAACACUAUUACCUGCAGCUGGUGAUCCUCUAGCAUGACGUUUCGUCGGGUAGGGCUCUAGCUCGCGACGCCCUUGCCUCGAUCCGCCUCUGAAGACGCAGCAGCCGGAAUAGCAGGCUCUGCAAAACACAGGGUAACAACUGGGCGUGAGAACUACUGUAAAAACAAGUAGUUCUCAGUGAGUACCGCCCUCAAAAUCAUCGACUCACCUACUAAGACUACAGUAGGAAACAAGGCUAAAAAGUAAAUCCGGAAAGAAAUCCACAGCUACAUGCCACUACACUAUCCCACUGUGUCUACUAUCAAUUCUGACCCAAUCUCAUUAGGGACUGUGUACGCACCCGUCCCGCCUGUUUAAGCCGCGCUACCUCCACGCUAAACAGUCCAUGGAUAGCAACUAAUCAGCGACAUCAACGCGAAAGCACAAAGCCAGACUCCGGAGGGGCACUCGUGGGCGCGACCCAACUGAGUAUGCAAGCGUAUCUCUGUCGAGCUCAAUCAGACUCUCACAGGCUAAAGUCAAGAAAACAGGUCUAACAGUACUACCAACCCCUAGUCACGUGCCCUUGGCACCAUCUGAUAUCGAAACGAUCAAAUCCGGGUCCGCCGUCAACCACUACGGCACCCACUAAUCCAGAACACUGUAAACACUACUGUAAAAAUCGGCUCGGCAUCCUAGCACGAGCGUAACUGAAAUCUGAACUACCUGGGAUACUCACUGUGAGGAUACUGCAACAGUAUAAAAAUACAACGACCCCUAAGGCUAAAUCAGGUAGUUCAACAUAUGCCAGG